Molecule: long non-coding RNA, 1981 nt
Organism: Sphaeramia orbicularis (orbiculate cardinalfish)
Lineage: Eukaryota; Metazoa; Chordata; Actinopteri; Kurtiformes; Apogonidae
Exons: 2
Source: RefSeq, a predicted model, not a curated record
UGGUUGGAGAUGAUUAUUUUAUGUACAGUUUAUGAUAUAUUUUGCCAAAAAAUGUAUCUUUUUCUUCAGUUUUCUGUUUUGAAUAUAAUAACCUUCAACUUUCAUCUGAGCUUUCAUAAAUAUCUACAUAAUACAUUAAACACAGGAUUUUCACUUAAAAAAAUCAAAAUACAGAGUAUAUAAUCAGAGUAAAUGGUGAUAAAUUAGUUAAGAAAGGUUAAAAAAAAGGAGAAAAAUUAAUGUGAGAAGUGCCACAAAAGUAACACUGGGUCUAUAUGGGUUUAAUCAGAGUCAGCUUCAGUGACCAAGUUUGACUCGGGUUUAUACUUAGCUCUGACGCACUACAGAAUAAAUAGAAUAUAGAAUUCAAGUAAAAAGCAUAUAAUAAUUAAAGUUCUACAAAAUAAUAUAAAGAAAAGAGGUGCAAAGACAUAAUAGUGCACUAUAAAAACCAUAGUGCAGUAUAAAAUUAGUAGUAGUAUAUAGAAGUAGCAGUAAAAGUAUUUGUAUUAAUUUCAUUUAAAAUUCAGGAUUUCUUUUUACUUUCUCAAAUGAUCAUUUUAUUAUUUGUUCCAUAGAAUCCACAAGAACAGUAUCUCCAUCCUACUCUCUUACAGACUAAAUGAACUGUGUGAAGCUUUUUUUUCUGUCUUAAGAAAAGUUACAAAACCAUAUUUACGUAGGUAAUAUCCAAAUAGAAUUCAUAUAUACAGGAUGUCGCAAAUCCUUGAAAAGUCUUAAAUUUGAUUAUCUUAAAUUAAGGCUUUAAUUAUCUUUAAAAGUGGUUAUUAAUUCUUCAAUGUGACACUCAAAGGUGUUGAAAAAAAUCCACAGAUACAAUAGAUGAUAUUGCUGUAUAUGCAUUAGAAAUCUUUGUAAAGAAUUUGUCAAAUAUGUAAGUAUUGUUGAUCAUGUUAACGUAACGGAAAUGGGAAUGAGUGGAGCUUCCUACAGUCAUAUUUAUGGGUGGAAGGGUUCAGGUGUGAGCUUUAGCAGCUUGAAUGUCAGUAUCAGAAACAUUUGUCAUAGACAAAUGGAAAUGUAUCAUUAGCAGGAUUGAAACAUGAUUAAGACUGGCAAUACUAUAAGGCCCAUUGUACUCUUAUUUAUGGAAAUGUCACAUCUUAUUUUGACCAAAGACACCUUGAAAAAUGUCUUAAAAAGUCAAAUUUGACUUCCUCAUACUGGAGAUACCUCAGAUAAGAGUUUUUUUUUUUCCCCAUAACAUUAAAGAAAGUCAUUGUCCAGAGCUGCUUAUACUGCUGCAUAAUGAAUUAAAUGGCACAACUUGUGUCAUAUUCUAUAAGAUCAUCAUAGGUUUGUAUUGUCACAAACCUGAGACAACUGUAUAUCUCUCAAAAUUCAAUGUAUUUUCCAGCAAUCCAAGACUUUUGUAGAGUUUAUGUAUCUUAAGAAGGAUCAGAAAUGUAAACUUUGUAACAAAUAUUCAAAAUCAACACAUAUGGACAGGAAGGGGAUGAAAACCGUAACAUGUCAAGUACUAAAGCUAUGAGAAAUGUAAAGUAAAAAAUAAAAUAAAAAUGACGUAUUUACCGCUGACAUGUAGUGAAAGUAGACUUGUUAAACUGCAGAAAAUGGAAAUACUCGAGUGAAGAACAAGAACCUCACACUUGUACGUAAGUACAAAACUUGAGUAGUACUUGUAAUCUCAUGUUAGAUCAGAAAUGACUGAUGCUGAAUGUUGGAAUCAAGGUGCUCGAGUAAUUAACUACAUUUUCCUAAAUUUUAGGAGUCACAAAUAUGUACCAUUGUGGCUGUGAAAUAGGCAUUAAAUUCUGUUCCAAGUAGUCUUAGAACGGUCUGAAAAAGUCUUAAAUUUAACUUGUAGAAACGUGCAGGAGCCCUGUAGUUUAUAUAUUUAUCUACCAGAAACAGAGUUAUAGAUUUGAAUUCCAUAAAUUUAAUGCAGUAGUUCAAUAUUUGGACUGAAAAAUCUGCAAAUAAAUGGUGAAAGUGUGUU